UGGGGACAACAGAUAACAGCAGCUUGAGUCUAGGGUCUAAGAGAGCCCUACUUAUUACAUCGGUGGAUUCAGGCUACAUGAAUAGGCUCACUGUGAAACUCUGGCUCUCUCUUCACACUCUCCUUGUUCACACAGCGCUUCACUCGUCAGCGGCAUUCCUGAAUGCUGAGAUUUGGUGUGACAUUUGUGAUGCCACUAUAGCCACAAGUGUGUGUACAAGGAUUACCAGUGCCCAGCAUGUAUACCUAAAACAUAA
Molecule: long non-coding RNA, 256 nt
Organism: Neoarius graeffei (lesser salmon catfish)
Lineage: Eukaryota; Metazoa; Chordata; Actinopteri; Siluriformes; Ariidae
Exons: 3
Source: RefSeq, a predicted model, not a curated record